CAGUCGCCGCGGGAAUACGUAGGGUGCAAGCGUUAAUCGGAAUUACUGGGCGUAAAGCGUGCGCAGGCGGUUCGCUAAGACAGAUGUGAAAUCCCCGGGCUUAACCUGGGAACUGCGCUUGUGACUGCACAGCUAGAGUAUGGCAGAGGGGGGUAGAAUCCCACGUGUAGCAGUGAAAUGCGUAGAGAUGUGGAGGAAUACCGAUGGCGAAGGCAGCCCCCUGGGCCAAUACUGACGCUCAUGCACGAAAGCGUGGGGAGCAAACAGGAUUAGAUACCCCCGUAGUCCCUGUCUCUUAUAU
This 301-nucleotide ribosomal RNA is filed under the name uncultured bacterium. Its description in RNAcentral is "partial 16S ribosomal RNA". It matches the Rfam family "Bacterial small subunit ribosomal RNA", at positions 509 to 809 of the family's 1533-position model. The record is from RNAcentral.